AUGCCCCACUCUGCCCCCGAUGCGCUGGUCCACACCGAGCCCGGUGCUUACUGCCUGCUGUAUGCCCGAGAGGGCAGCAAGUCAGGGAGUCGCCUUGUUCACGGAACCUCUGUUCUGGACCAGACCCUGCACCAGGGCCCAAAGCUGUGUAACUGUGAUUCAGCCCCCUGCAGCUGCUUGCCAGGCUCGGGGUGGGUCCCUGCAUCCUGGCUGGCAUCUUCUGUUGAACGAAAGGACGCCAGAGCUCCAAGGAGCGAAGAGACACAGGCUCCGAGUCUCCAGCCCACUGGUGUCAUCUUUGAGGGCUUUGGUCCAGGCCUGGCUGGUCUGGCCUCAGCCACGGCCCCAGGGGGCCCCACCUCAAAGUCUCUAGAACCUGUAUCUGACCGGCAGGUUUCAGAUGGCCUUGGGAGAGGUGUCUCGCUAACCCUGCGCCCGACUAGCGGGCCUCUGGGAACUUGGCAGAUGCAGAUUAGAAAUACCAGCGAGCAUCAUUGUUGUCUUUCUGGGAACUCAUUCCCAUGAGAUCAGAACCUCUUCGAAAGAAGAAGAAGAAGGUAGAUCCUAAAAAAGACCAAGCAGCAAAGGAGCACUUGAAAACAAGGAUCCGAAAACUGGAAAAGGCUAGUCAAGAGCUAAUUCCUAUUGAAGAUUUUAUUACCCCUCUAAAGUUCUUGGAUAAAGCAAGACAGCGGCCUCAGGUGGAGCUCACCUUUAAGGAGACUGAGAGGAGAGCUCUGCUUCUGAAGAAGUGGUCCUUGUACAAGCAGCAAGAGCAUAAGAUGGAGAGGGACACCAUCAGGGCCAUGCUAGAAGCCCAGCAGGAAGCUCUGGAGGAACUGUGACUCGAGUUCCCGAAGCUCCAUGCUGAGGCCAUCAAGCGGGAUCCCAACCUGUUCCCCUUUGAGAGGGAAGGGCCAUGUUACACACCACCGAUCCCUAACUACCAGCCCCGUGAAGGCAAGUACAGUGACGUCACCAAGGUGUACACACAAGUGGAGUUUAAGAGAUAGACUUGCAGGCUGCUAUCCUUAACAUGCUGCCCCUGAGAGUAGGAAUGACCAGGGUUCAAGUCUGCUUUCCGCAGAAUCAGUCAUGCUGUUAAUAAAUACUGG
Molecule: RNA transcript, 1115 nt
Organism: Cercocebus atys (sooty mangabey)
Lineage: Eukaryota; Metazoa; Chordata; Mammalia; Primates; Cercopithecidae
Gene name: 39S ribosomal protein L40, mitochondrial pseudogene
Exons: 3
Source: RefSeq, a predicted model, not a curated record